GAAAAUUUAAGGGCCGCAGUAUCCUGACUGUGCAAAGGUAGCAUAAUCAUUAGUCUUUUAAUUGGAGGCUUGUAUGAAUGGUUGGACAAAAGAAAAACUGUUUCUAUUUUAAAAAUUGAAUUUAACUUUUAAGUGAAAAGGCUUAAAUGAUCUAAAGGGACGAUAAGACCCUAUAAAGCAUUAUGUUGGGGCGACAAAAGUAUAAUUAGUAACUGCUUUAUUUCGUUACAUUGAUAAAUGAAAUGAUCCUUUAUAAAGAUUAUAAGAUUAAGUUACUUUAGGGAUAACAGCGUAAUUUUUCUUGAGAGCCCAUAUCGAAAGAAAAGAUUGCGACCUCGAUGUUGAAUUAAAAUUUCUUUAUUAUGCAGCAGUAAUAUAAGAAGGUCUGUUCGACCUUUAAAUUUUU
RNAcentral lists this ribosomal RNA (406 nucleotides) under Acanthocyclus albatrossis. RNAcentral describes it as "partial 16S large subunit ribosomal RNA". It matches the Rfam family "Archaeal large subunit ribosomal RNA", at positions 1995 to 2666 of the family's 2987-position model. The record is from RNAcentral. Lineage: Eukaryota; Metazoa; Arthropoda; Malacostraca; Decapoda; Belliidae.